UACAGAGACCUCGAGCGUUAUCCGGAAUUAUUGGGCGUAAAGCGUACCGAUCGGCGGUAUAAUUAGUCUGCUGUAAAAUCCCACGGCUCAACCGUGGACUCGCAGUGGAUACUGUUAUGCUUGAGGGACAUAGAGGUGCCUGGAACGAAUGGAGUAGCAGUGAAAUGCGUUGAGACCAUUCGGAACACCAAAAGCGAAGGCAGGGCACUGGAUGUCACCUGACGCUGCUAGGACGAAAGCGUGGGGAGCGAAUGGG
RNAcentral lists this ribosomal RNA (256 nucleotides) under uncultured bacterium. RNAcentral describes it as "partial 16S ribosomal RNA". It matches the Rfam family "Bacterial small subunit ribosomal RNA", at positions 524 to 776 of the family's 1533-position model. The record is from RNAcentral.